GAUGAACGCUGGCGGUGUGCCUAAUACAUGCAAGUCGAGCGAACAGAUGAGGAGAUUGCGCCUUUGACGUUAGCGAGGGACGGGCGAGUAACAAGUGGAUAACCAACUUAUAUGACGGGGAGAAUAACGGGAGAACAGAUCCAAUAAUGGCUAAUACAAUCAACCGCAGAGAGCAAUAGAUCAUCGCGGCUUUGCCGAUUCUUUUAGAUGGUGCCGGGCCGCAUUAGCUGGUUGGUAAGGUAACGGCUUACCAAGGCGACGAUGCGUAGCUGAGCUGAGAGGAUGAUCGGCCACACUGGAACUGAGACACGGUCCAGACUCCUACGGGAGGCAGCAGUGGGGAAUAUUGCGCAAUGGGCGAAAGCCUGAUGCAGCCAUGCCGCGUGAGUGAAGAAGGUCUUCGGAUCGUAAAGCUCUGUUAUUAGGAAAGAAAAACAGUGUGAGUAAAUAUCGACGUCUUGACGGUACCUAAUGAGAAAGCACCGGCUAACUUCGUG
Molecule: ribosomal RNA, 497 nt
Filed under: uncultured bacterium
Lineage: Bacteria
Description: partial 16S ribosomal RNA
Rfam family: Bacterial small subunit ribosomal RNA
Source: RNAcentral